GCAAGUCGAACGAGAAGCAGGACGUCGGUCCUGUGGAAAGUGGCGAACGGGUGCGUAACACUUGAGCAACCUGCCCUUAAGUAUGGAAUAGCUCACCGAAAGGUGAAUUAAUACUGUAUGUGACCCUCCAUCGCAUGGUGGAGUGGUUAAAGCUUGUAAUGGCGCUUAAGGAUGGGCUCGCGGCCUAUCAGCUUGUUGGUGAGGUAACGGCUCACCAAGGCGAAGACGGGUAGCUGGUCUGAGAGGAUGAUC
This 252-nucleotide ribosomal RNA is filed under the name uncultured bacterium. RNAcentral describes it as "partial 16S ribosomal RNA". It matches the Rfam family "Bacterial small subunit ribosomal RNA", at positions 57 to 305 of the family's 1533-position model. The record is from RNAcentral.